GUCCUAGCUGUAAACGGUGCAUAUUUGCUGUAAAAGGAAUCGACCCCUUUUGUGGCGUAGCCAACGCGAUAAAUAUGCCGCCUGGGAAGUACGGUCGCAAGAUUAAAACUCAAAGAAAUUGACGGGGGCCUGCACAAGCGGUGGAGUAUGUGGCUCAAUUCGAUGCAACGCGAAGAACCUUACCUGGCCUUGACAUGUACGUAGUAGAAGGGUGAAAGCCUGACGAGGUAGCAAUACCAGCGUACACAGGUGCUGCAUGGCUGUCGU
This 267-nucleotide ribosomal RNA is filed under the name uncultured bacterium. RNAcentral's name for it is "partial 16S ribosomal RNA". It matches the Rfam family "Bacterial small subunit ribosomal RNA", at positions 793 to 1055 of the family's 1533-position model. The record is from RNAcentral.